GAUGAACGCUGGCGGCGUGCUUAACACAUGCAAGUCGAACGAGAAUCAACGGAUUGAGGAUUCGUCCAAAUGAAGUUGAGGAAAGUGGCGGACGGGUGAGUAACGCGUGAGGAACCUGCCUUUCAGAGGGGGAUAACGUUUGGAAACGAACGCUAAUACCGCAUAACACCGAGACGUCACAUGGCGAUUCGGUCAAAGGAGCAAUCCGCUGAGAGAUGGGCUCGCGUCCGAUUAGGUAGUUGGUGAGAUAACAGCCCACCAAGCCGACGAUCGGUAGCCGGACUGAGAGGUUGAACGGCCACAUUGGGACUGAGACACGGCCCAG
RNAcentral lists this ribosomal RNA (325 nucleotides) under uncultured bacterium. RNAcentral describes it as "bacterial SSU rRNA". It matches the Rfam family "Bacterial small subunit ribosomal RNA", at positions 28 to 334 of the family's 1533-position model. The record is from RNAcentral.